GAUGAACGCUGGCGGCGUGCCUAAUACAUGCAAGUCGAGCGAACAGACGAGGAGCUUGCUCCUCUGACGUUAGCGGCGGACGGGUGAGUAACACGUGGAUAACCUACCUAUAAGACUGGGAUCACUUCGGGAAACCGGAGCUAAUACCGGAUAAUAUAUUGAACCGCAUGGUUCAAUAGUGAAAGACGGUUUUGCUGUCACUUAUAGCUGGAUCCGCGCCGCAUUAGCUAGUUGGUAAGGUAACGGCUUACCAAGGCGACGAUGCGUAGCCGACCUGAGAGGGUGAUCGGCCACCCUGGAACUGAGACACGGUCCAGACUCCUACGGGAGGCAGCAGUAGGGAAUCGUCCGCAAUGGGCGGAAGCCUGACGGAGCAACGCCGCGUGAGUGAUGAAGGUCUUCGGAUCGGAAAACUCUGUUAUUAGGGAAGAACAAAUGUGUAAGUAACUAUGCACGGCUUGACGGUACCUAAUCAGAAAGCCACGGCUAACUACGUG
Molecule: ribosomal RNA, 497 nt
Filed under: uncultured bacterium
Lineage: Bacteria
Description: partial 16S ribosomal RNA
Rfam family: Bacterial small subunit ribosomal RNA
Source: RNAcentral